CCGAGUUUACAACUCCCAAACCCCUGUGAACAUACCUUUAUGUUGCCUCGGCGGAUCAGCCCGCGCCCCGUAAAACGGGACGGCCCGCCGCAGGAAACCCUAAACUCUGUUUUUAGUGGAACUUCUGAGUAUAAAAACAAAUAAAUCA
RNAcentral lists this unclassified non-coding RNA (148 nucleotides) under soil metagenome. Its description in RNAcentral is "partial internal transcribed spacer 1". The record is from RNAcentral.